GUCGAGAAUCUUUCACAAUGGGGGCAAACCUGAUGGAGCGACGCCGCGUGGAGGAUAAGGUCUUCGGAUUGUAAACUCCUGUCAUGCGUGAACAAGGUUGCUUGGUUAAUACCUGGGCAAAUUGAUGGUAACGCAAGAGGAAGAGACGGCUAACUCUGUGCCAGCAGCCGCUGUAAUACCGAGGUCUCAAGCGUUGUUCGGAAUCACUGGGCGUAAAGGGUGCGUAGGUGGCGUGGUAAGUCAGAGGUGAAAGCCCGGGGGUCAACCUCGGAACUGCAGCCGAUACUGCCAUGCUAGAGUACUGGAGAGGUGACUAGAAUUCUCGGUGUAGCAGUGAAAUGCGUAGAUAUCGAGAGGAAUACCAAAGGUGUAGGCAGGUCACUGGACAGUUACUGACACUGAGGCACGAAGGCCAGGGGAGCGAACGGGAUUAGAUACCCUAGUAGUCC
RNAcentral lists this ribosomal RNA (449 nucleotides) under uncultured bacterium. Its description in RNAcentral is "partial 16S ribosomal RNA". It matches the Rfam family "Bacterial small subunit ribosomal RNA", at positions 354 to 796 of the family's 1533-position model. The record is from RNAcentral.